GAUAAACGCUGGCGGCGUGCAUUAGACAUGCAAGUCGAACGAAGGAUCGGGCUUGCUCGAUCCUUAGUGGCGGACGGCUGCGUAUCGGGUAGGUGACCUACCCCGAAGUGGGGAAUAACUGCCCGAAAGGGUGGCCAAUGCCGCUUGCGGACGAACGUUCAUUCCUCCGGGUUAAGCGGCAAGGCGCUUUGGGAGGGGCAUAAGUCCGAUUAGCUCGUUGGUAGGGUAAUGGCUUACCAAGGCGGAGAUGGGUAGGUGGGCUGAGAGGACGAUCACACAAAAUGGGAGUGAGACACGGCCCAGACUCCUACGGGAGGCGGCAGUCGGGAAUUUUGCAAAAUCGGGGAAACGCUGAAGCAGCAACGACGCGUGAAGGAUGAAGGCCUUCGGGUUGUAAACCUCUUUUGUCAGGGACGAUGAUGACGGUACCUGGCGAAUAAGCCACGGCUAACUACGUG
This 458-nucleotide ribosomal RNA is filed under the name uncultured bacterium. RNAcentral describes it as "partial 16S ribosomal RNA". It matches the Rfam family "Bacterial small subunit ribosomal RNA", at positions 28 to 507 of the family's 1533-position model. The record is from RNAcentral.